Molecule: long non-coding RNA, 422 nt
Organism: Amblyraja radiata (thorny skate)
Lineage: Eukaryota; Metazoa; Chordata; Chondrichthyes; Rajiformes; Rajidae
Exons: 3
Source: RefSeq, a predicted model, not a curated record
CUCACACCUUGCUCACUUGCCCGCGCGUAACACAGGAAAAUACUUCCGGACAAAUACAACACCAAUGUACCCGCCCCCAAACUGUAUCUAAAAAUAACCGCAAGCCUCGCUGGGACACCAUCAACAGCUGAAAGUGCAAGAGGUUACAGAUGUUACUGGGAUUGGAAGGGAGACAACUGAGCUCUAUCAGCCCCCUUGUAAGACCGACUCCCAUAGAAACCCCCGAGAACAUCUGUGGUCCUUCGUCAGAAGUUGAUCUGGUUCCCCGCCGAGGUUCUUAGAUGCAGACAAUGUGCAAUACGACAAAGUUUCUUCAGUGUUCCAACCACCAGCACAGUGAGCAGGAGUAACACAGACAACAGAAAGAUCAUCACAUCUACACAAUAGUAAGCGUACCAGGGGAGUCGGUGGGAUUCUGAGCG